CUAACACACCCAAACAGAACCAAAAUGACCCUCCAUUUUGGCCUUGCGUCUAACGCAUGGGGGCUGCGUCUAACGUACCCCAAACAGAGCCAAUUUGGGUCUCAACUCUCAAUUCUACCCCCUGCGUCACGCAUGAGGAGGUGCAUUCAACGCACCACAACCAAACACAAGUUUAGUGUGGAUGUGCGUCUAACGGAGGGGAAGAUGCGUCCAAUGCACACCUCCCUCUUUUUCUUUUGCAAUUACAUUUUUCUUUAAUUCCAUGCAUGCAUGCUUUCAUACUAUUUAGUUUUCAAUUUUUGUUUUUUCUCCUUUAUUUUUGUUUGAAUUUUGUUUGUCCUUUUUCCUUUACUAGCUUCGAAUCAUAUCCCCCCAUGCCCACCACUAGAUCUUAACUUUCAAACUCCACCCUCCAUUCAAUUCCCUCUUUUUUCCUAUAAAUAUACUGUUAGAAUUUUUAUUCUAAUCGUAGUCUAAUUUGUUAAUAUAAAAAUUAGUUUAGGUGGUGUUGUAAUUUUUGAUUAAUUAUAUUGGCAGUUGAUCUGUUCUUUGAUGAAAAGAACACGAUUGUUCAUAAACUUUAUAAAGUUUGGGUCCCCAAUUCUGAUUACAGAUAUAACAAAUAAACACACUUUGAUUUCAUCUCAUUCUAUGAUUCAAGAAUUGGAAGUUCCAAAUUAAAUCAAAGGAUUUAUUGGCAAUGGUCGGAGCAGUAAUGAUAUCUGAAACUGUAUCUGAAAUUCAUUUGUUAAGUGGUGACAACUAUAAAGAAAGGAAAGAUAAGAUUCUCUUUCACUUAGGGUGUGCAAACCUUGACUAUGCUCUUCGUAGGGAAGAGCCUCCGACACCUACUGAUGCUAGUUCUCAAGCCGAGGAAUGUCAACGAUUAUAUGAAGGCUAUUGAUGAACAGUUUGAGUCUUCUAGUAAGGCACUUGCAAGAACCCUAAUGGCACAACUGUCAUCUAUGAGGCUUACCGGUGUAAGAGAUGUGCGUGAACACAUCAUGAGGUUGAGAGACAUUGCAGCACAACUAAAAGCUUUAGAGGUUGAGAUCUCUGAUUCAUUUCUAGUGCAUCUUAUUCUAAAUUUUCUUCCUGUCCAGUACGGACCAUUUAAGAUUUCUUAUAACACACAUUAGAAAAAAUGGUCCAUUAACGAAUUACUAGUGAUGUGUGUGCAAGAGAAAGGAAGUCUAAUUCAGGACUUUGGUGAAAGUGCACUAUUAGUGACAAAUGAGGGUGGUAAAAAGCAAGCUCAUAAGAAGAAAGGAAAGGGUAUUGUAUCCCAUUCUAUGAAGAAAGAAGGUGCACGGUGUUUCUUUUGUGAAAAGAAAGGACACAUGAAGAAGGAGUGCCCAAAAUUUAAAGUUUGGCUUGAAAAGAAAGGAUUUCAUAAGGAAAAUGAAACUGAUAGGAAGUGAACUAAGCAUCUAUAUGAGCAAUCGGAUGCGUUCACGUGUGAAAGCUGUUGGAACAUUUAGGCUUGUAUUAAGUACUGGUUGUAUUUUAGAUUUAGAAAAAA
Arachis ipaensis is the source of this 1522-nucleotide non-coding RNA. The record is from RefSeq and is a predicted model, not a curated record. NCBI's taxonomy places the organism in Eukaryota, Viridiplantae, Streptophyta, Magnoliopsida, Fabales, Fabaceae.